Non-coding RNA from Cricetulus griseus (Chinese hamster), 1982 nucleotides. Lineage: Eukaryota; Metazoa; Chordata; Mammalia; Rodentia; Cricetidae. The record is from RefSeq and is a predicted model, not a curated record.
ACUCAGCAACCUGCAUAGCAAUAGAAGGCAGCACUCAGCUGGGAAGAUACCCCAUUUUCCCCAGAUUCUUCUAACUGGCCUUCACUCAUCCCAGUGUGCUCAGAUGAACAUUUGGACCUGCUAAGCAAUGUCAUUUACUACUGUCCUGUGCACAGGUUACUUGAUCUCUCUAGCCUUCAAUUUCUUCUGUUCAGCAGACAGACUGGAUCCGGAAUUGACUACGAGGCACUCCAGAAAAUAAUUCUUGGUCAGAUUAUUUAAAGUAGGGAAACCUAGCCUAAGUAUGAUGCCCAGAUAAAGGGGAUAGAAGAAGAAAGCAUUUUUCUUUUUGCCUGCUUGCCUUCACUCUUGCUGGCAAGUUCACCUACAUUGUUGUUGACACAUUCCUUCACUGAUAUUAGGACUCAGCUUUGAACUUUCACCAUGGACUGAAGGCCAGUGUUUCUCCAGGAUCUUCUGGGUCUUCAGUGCCAGAUUGGAACUUCUGAGGAAUCCAGCUAGUGGGAUGAGCAACUACCAGGUUGUUCUCUGGUGUGAGACAACCAUUGUUGGACUGCACAGACCAUAUCAGGCACAUGGACAUUCACAUGGUGUGAGGGAGUCUUGGCCAGGAGGAACCCAAGGAUUUCCAGACUAUUUACAAAAUAAACAAGCUGGCCACAAGGUGAAUGACCCAGAAAGUAACAACUACUGCCAACCCGAGUGGACAAUGACCACCAGGACCGGCUUCUUCCAUCUACUCUCUGGGAGGCUGGAAGGAUGGGUUCUUGGCACACUGCAGAACCCGCUAUCUACUCCACCAAGCACCCAUCUGCAAAGCUGAGACUACAGGGUUCCUUCAGGAUCACUGAGAAGCUAUUUCCCUGAGAGAAGGGCCUCCACAGGGCAUGAGUUACUCUCUUCUGAUGGCUUCUGGACCAUCACUCCUUCCUCGGGCCUCUGGCUGGGUUGGAUCAUGUCCUCCCAAAAAAUGUUGAAGUCUCACCCACUGGGAUUGUAUUAGGGGGCCAAUGCACAUGUAAUUAGUAAAGUUGAGGUGAGGCCCCAAAGUCCGUGAGAGCUGUGACCCUAUAAGAGGAGUGACUCGGAGCUAGAGAGAUAGCUCAGUCAGUAAAAUUCCUGCCACACAAGCACCAUGUGAGGAAACCAGAAGCAGCAGCACACACUUGAAUUUCAGCACUGGAGAGGUAGAGACAGGCAGAUCCUGGAGCUUGCUGGACAGCCAUCCUAGCUGAAGCAGCAAGCUCCAAGAUCCCUGCCUCAAUAAGCAAACAAACAAAGUUGAUGGCACUUGAGGAUGACACCUAAUGUUAACAUCUGAUACACACAAACACGUGUACACAUGUGCACACAUGUGCACCCAGACCUACAUAUACACACACACACAUGUAUCCAGACAUUACACACACACACACACACACACACACACAAACAUAUACACGCACACAUACACUCAGACCUUCAUAUACAUAUGUACAAAAAAUAUGUGGAGUACUGUAGAGGUUUGUUACAGCAGCAUAUUAAGGGCCAUCAGCCAGCCUGGACCACUAAAGCAAAGAAACAUCCUUGCAGGUGUCUGGUAUAUAGUGUGUCACUCUACAGCUUGGCCUCAGACUUCUAGCCUCCUGAACUCCUGUUACAUGAAGCGGCCUAGUUUGUGGCACCCUGUUCCAGCUGUCGUGGGAAACUAAUAUGGGUCCUAAAUUCUGAACCCAUAUACCCCCACCCUUCCUCUGUCACCAUCCAUAGGGCAGAGAUAUAGCAGUGCCCACAAACCCAAACUCUAGGAGGAGGUUGGUUCCCAAGUAGCCAUGAAAAAGUACAAAGGUCUUAGCAUAGCAAGUCCCAGGGUGUUCAGGACAAGAAAAAGAGAAAGACAAGUGGUCCCUCUCCCAAAGCAGGGUCCCAACAUGAGAAGGAAGAGGGCAGGCUGGAAAUGGGUGGGCAAGGGGAGGCUGAGAUGUAACUAUUUUUAAUUCUUA